UGGCCAGGCCCAAAAUAGAGCCAGUCCAAACAAACACUCCUACCAAAUCACUAAAUAUGGAAAAAAGGAAACUAAAAUUUGACAAAAGGGAAAGAUGUAGGUGAAAUCGGAACUUCAGCCAUCGUCUUCUUCGUCUGAGCUCUUGCAGCAGAGGAAAAGCUUGACUCUUUCACCAUUGGAUUACAACCAUUGUUGUGUAGAGGUAAGAUUUGGAUACAAUUUGAGUUUUGGGGUAUUUCAAAUCGAGCAUUGUAGAUCCCACCAACGCCACAAAAUCGUUCUCACCGGAGACUUCGCCAACUCAACUAUUUCCAGCUUGAGCUCAACAAGGAACUAAUACCACUGCCUAAGGAUUUAGAAAGAGCGCUAUAUUGAACGAAACCAGGGGGAGAUAAUUUGUAUGUACCUUUUCUGCUAUUAGGUCUGAGUAUGCUGCAAUUUUGGGCCAACAGCAACUAGCAGCUGCUGAUUGGGAACCUUCUAUGUAUCCUUCAAUAGAACCUGAUCUGAAUAUUUAGAUGGAUACCAUCCAAUAUUGGGUCUACUAUGUGCAUCGGGAUAUGGUAAGUGGCAUGUUCCAAAACAUUUUGUGUAUCUAGAGCCUCAUUCUCUCCAUGUGUCGUGUCAAUCAAAGUUAUUUAUGUUGUGUACCCUUUGUCCAUGACUUCAUUCCUGGCAUCCAUUAUUUCAUCAUAGUGUUCUGGUUUACUAUCUCUCAGCACUAUAUGACAUGCAUUACUCUGAACAUUCUAUUUUACUAUUUCCCUUCUUGAUACGUUGUUGUGAUCGCUUCCUUUUCCUUGUGCCGAGGUAGCUAGUGUUGUGUUGUCCCCUGCUAUCCAUUUUCCUCCUUGUUCCUUAUUAUGUAUUAAUCCUUCUUCCAUAAUGGCUGCUUCAUCAUGCUCAUGUUGAUUAAACACAUUAAAAGAAUUGUUGGUACUGAUGUUCUCAUGUCUUUCUACAGCCUUUUCUCCCAUUAUUUGUCCCGCCUUCUUUGUAAACACCCUUGUGGUGGGCUUCCAUUUACUGAUCACUGCUCCUUUAUAAAACUACAUUUUGUAAAGUUGUUGUGGUAUGAUUGCUUCCUUCUCGUGUUGUUUCUCCUGUUGUAAUUCUGGAUGCAAUAUCAUGCACUCCUCCUCUUUGUGACCCUGAAUUCUACAUUUCUUGCAAUAUGAUGGGAGUGAGUCAUAAAGUAUUUUAACUUUAAUGAUUUUAAUAUCCUGAUUAUUGUUAUUUUCUAUCUGCAUUUGAACAUAUUGAGGAUUGUCCACUAGCAAAUCCAGUUGAACCUUCACCCUUGCACAACUUGUCCGAGUCUUGUUGAUUGUUGCAAGAUUUAGGUGCAAUGGUUCCCCUACUAUUGCCUCUAACGAGAACAAUACCUCCUUCACAAAGAAAGUAGGAAGGAUAUCUUGGAAAGAGAUCUAGGUUGUGGCUUGCGAGGUAUUUGAAGUUUUAGUGGAAGCAUGGACACUUAGGCGC
This is a long non-coding RNA of Solanum tuberosum (potato), 1485 nucleotides long. RefSeq lists it as uncharacterized. The transcript has 5 exons. NCBI's taxonomy places the organism in Eukaryota, Viridiplantae, Streptophyta, Magnoliopsida, Solanales, Solanaceae. The record is from RefSeq and is a predicted model, not a curated record.